CAAGAUUUUUUUUUUUUGCAUCUAUCAGAUUUAGACGAAUCACAAAAUGACCCUUGGCCUGAUGAAAUUCCCCGAAUUCCGC
Long non-coding RNA from Haliotis rubra (blacklip abalone), 82 nucleotides. RefSeq lists it as uncharacterized. NCBI's taxonomy places the organism in Eukaryota, Metazoa, Mollusca, Gastropoda, Lepetellida, Haliotidae. The transcript has 3 exons. The record is from RefSeq and is a predicted model, not a curated record.